GACAUCCCGACAGAGCAGCACAUGCCUGUCCCUUCUUUCAUUGGCGGUGCGAGAAAGAGGAUCCACCCGCUCCCUUAUGCUGAUCUGAGCCUUCCUUGUGAGUUGGUUCCAAUUUUUUUACUGACUAUAUCUUCUACUUUUUGCUUUGUGAAUCCUAUGAAAUGGUGUAAGUGAAUGCAUUAUGGUUAUUGUGUAUCAUAUCAACAGACAUAUGUUCGUUCAUUAUAAGUGCAAAUUGUGGUUGGAUCAUGUUAAGAACUUAUGUCUGCUGUAAUUGAUUUUGGUGAAGAACAACAACUGCAUUUUUUUUCUCUAGCUUGUGAACGUUGAACACUUUGGUCUUCCUGUUGGUGCUUCUUUCUCAUGUGUGUACGUGUUAUAUUUAUGAAUUUUCUAUGGGUUUGAAGUGGUUGUGAUCUAUACUUUGAAGAUCCAUGAACUGGACUAGGCUUUCUGAAUUCUGAUAGAAUGAGAAGCCUGCGGUCAAUAUCUAAAUGUUCCUCUACCAUCACAGCUUGAGUUAAUAUAUAAGGAUUUGGAUUUUGUUUACGAUGUUUUAACUCUGAUGUGGUAAAGAUGAUGAAACCAGCACUUUUAGUUGAGUGAAAUCUAAGAAAACAAUUACAUCGAGGUGUUGCAUGUAUGAUGUAUGUCAGUUCAUGUUCUUCAGAAUUUAAGUGUUUCGGAUGAUCAUGCCAUGUUUCUAUGGAUUGCCAUUUUGUCCAACGAGAGCAGUGAAACAUCAAAUUUAGUUAACCAUCUCAUAUUUGCAUUUGCUUUGUGAUGUUUCCGUUCUACCUACAAUAUUUGAAAUAAGACAUUGUAUUGCUCACUGGGAACAAGCAUCACUUUCUUGGAAUAUCUUUAUCUUCCUUGAGUUUUUAAGUGAGUUUGUGCUACGCUGCCAAGGAGCUCCAGCAAGCAUGUGUACCUGCUCUCCUUGCCCCUGAGCUCCUGUACCGGCAACAGCAACUCGUAGCAGAACCAGAAGCAUUACACUGAGGCGCUCAGAAGAAACCCAAAGGAUCCAAAGGUAUACGGCAACACGGCUGCCUGUUACACAAGACGGGUGCCAUGCCUGAAGUACUGAAGGAUACUGAGAAGUGCAUCGAACUAGAUACCACAUUCUACAAGGGAUACACAAGGAAGGAUGCAACCCUGUUUGUUUCUAAAGAAUGCGACAAAGCAAUGGAACGAGCGUGCCUGAGUGGUAACAUAUGUUCCUGACUGUCUUAGCGAUAUAACAACACAGUCUGAAUAUGAUCUCCAGCAAACAAACAAACCACUAUUAUUGGAGCCUGGACAAUGAUAUCGAAGGAAUUUUUGCUCUGAGCAAUGCAGUCCACGAAGAAUAGCAGUUAUGAAGAGUUUCCUCAAAGAAGUCGUUCUAAACGUCCAGCGAUACAUCUGUCUAACGUAUCUCUGCCUAUCUACAUUCCUUGCUUAUAACAUUGUAAAUGAUCGUUCGUAAGGUUCUUAGAAAACAUGUAUCAUCAGCAACCAUCUAUUUA
This is a long non-coding RNA of Triticum aestivum (bread wheat), 1511 nucleotides long. RefSeq lists it as uncharacterized. The transcript has 3 exons. Lineage: Eukaryota; Viridiplantae; Streptophyta; Magnoliopsida; Poales; Poaceae. The record is from RefSeq and is a predicted model, not a curated record.